GAUCCUGGCUUAGGAUGAACGCUGGCGGCGUGCUUAACACAUGCAAGUCGAACGAAGCUAAGGGAGCUUGCUCCCAAAGCUUAGUGGCGGACGGGUGAGUAACGCGUGGGUAACCUGCCCUAUAGAGGGGGAUAACGUUCGGAAACGAACGCUAAUACCGCAUAAACCAUAAGGAGCUGCAUGGCUCUGAUGGCAAAGAUUUAUCGCUAUAGGAUGGACCUGCGUUGGAUUAGCUAGUUGGUGAGAUAACAGCUCACCAAGGCGACGAUCCAUAGCCGGCCUGAGAGGGUGAACGGCCACAUUGGGACUGAGACACGGCCCAAACUCCUACGGGAGGCAGCAGUGGGGAAUAUUGCACAAUGGGCGCAAGCCUGAUGCAGCGACGCCGCGUGAAGGAAGAAGGUCUUCGGAUUGUAAACUUCUAUCAGCAGGGAAGAAUAAAUGACGGUACCUGACUAAGAAGCCCCGGCUAACUACGUGCCAGCCGCCGC
This 491-nucleotide ribosomal RNA is filed under the name uncultured bacterium. RNAcentral's name for it is "bacterial SSU rRNA". It matches the Rfam family "Bacterial small subunit ribosomal RNA", at positions 15 to 518 of the family's 1533-position model. The record is from RNAcentral.